This 427-nucleotide ribosomal RNA is filed under the name uncultured bacterium. RNAcentral's name for it is "bacterial SSU rRNA". It matches the Rfam family "Bacterial small subunit ribosomal RNA", at positions 355 to 774 of the family's 1533-position model. The record is from RNAcentral.
UAGGGAAUAUUAGACAAUGGGGGCAACCCUGAUCCAGCCAUGCCGCGUGAGUGAAGAAGGCCCUCGGGUUGUAAAGCUCUUUUGUCCGGAAAGAAAAGCAUUCGGUGAAUACCCGGAUGUUCUGACGGUACCGGAAGAAUAAGCACCGGCUAACUUCGUGCCAGCAGCCGCGGUAAUACGAAGGGUGCAAGCGUUACUCGGAAUUACUGGGCGUAAAGCGUGCGUAGGUGGUUGUUUAAGUCUGAUGUGAAAGCCCUGGGCUCAACCUGGGAAUGGCAUUGGAAACUGGGCAGCUAGAGUGCGGUAGAGGGUAGUGGAAUUCCCGGUGUAGCAGUGAAAUGCGUAGAGAUCGGGAGGAACAUCUGUGGCGAAGGCGACUGCCUGGACCAGCACUGACACUGAGGCACGAAAGCGUGGGGAGCAAACA